Molecule: small RNA, 1041 nt
Filed under: Pongo abelii (Sumatran orangutan)
Lineage: Eukaryota; Metazoa; Chordata; Mammalia; Primates; Hominidae
Description: retained intron
Source: RNAcentral
UGCAUGUGGGAGGGUAGGAGUUUCUAUAUUUCCCCGUUUUUCUUCUGGGGUAAGACAUCAUGCUAUAUAACAAGGCAAUGACACCCUCAAGGUUAGAAGCCUUGGUAGCCUAUUAUCGUGUGCUUCUCUGGCCUCUAGGGGCUGACAUUCACCCUACGACCUGGCGAGGUGACGGCGCUGGUAGGACCCAAUGGGUCUGGGAAAAGCACAGUGGCUGCCCUGCUGCAGAAUCUGUACCAGCCCACCGGGGGACAGCUGCUGUUGGAUGGGAAGCCCCUUCCCCAAUAUGAGCACCGCUACCUGCACAGGCAGGUGGCUGCAGUGGGACAAGAGCCACAAGUAUUUGGAAGAAGUCUUCAAGAAAAUAUUGCCUAUGGCCUGACCGAGAAGCCAACUAUGGAGGAAAUCACAGCUGCUGCAGUAAAGUCUGGGGCCCAUAGUUUCAUCUCUGGACUCCCUCGGGGCUAUGACACAGGUACUCUCUCCUCUUAUCUCACCACCCAGCCAUCUUUACCUUUGCUGAAACCCCAGUAGUCUUGCCUUUAUCCUUCAGUACCUCCUGACUCAUGGACAUCAAUUUGAAGUUGUAAGAUCAUGCUCCUACGGCUUCUUCAUCCUGACAUUCUCAGGAUUCUGUUCAUCUUCCCAGAAUCUCCCCUAUCCAGCUACAACCACCAGAUCUUGGUGUGUGUGAGUGUGUGAAUGCAUGAGUGUGUCUGUGUGCAUGUGCGUGUAUGUACAUGCGUGCACACAUAUGGCUAUACAGUUCUCAUCUUGGCCCUUUGCUCUGCAGAGGUAGGCGAGGCUGGGAGCCAGCUGUCAGGGGGUCAGCGACAGGCAGUGGCAUUGGCCCGAGCAUUGAUCCGGAAACCAUGUGUACUUAUCCUGGAUGAUGCCACCAGUGCCCUGGAUGCAAACAGCCAGUUACAGGUGGAGCAGCUCCUGUACCAAAGCCCUGAGCGGUACUCCCGCUCAGUGCUUCUCAUCACCCAGCACCUCAGCCUGGUGGAGCAGGCUGACCACAUCCUCUUUCUGGAAGGA